This is a long non-coding RNA of Felis catus (domestic cat), 565 nucleotides long. RefSeq lists it as uncharacterized. NCBI's taxonomy places the organism in Eukaryota, Metazoa, Chordata, Mammalia, Carnivora, Felidae. The transcript is spliced from 3 exons. The record is from RefSeq and is a predicted model, not a curated record.
CUCACACACCGCGAGAUCGUGACCUGAGCCGAAGCCGGACGCUUCACCGACUGAGCCACGCAGGCGUCCUGAACCAGAAAUUUUUCUAAAAAGCAAACAUCGGUGGAACUAUUGGACUCUUUCUGCUGCCAGGACCCCUUUGGCUGCUGAGAUGCAGACGUGAGAGCCAGGCAGACCCAGGAGCCCGGGAGGAGGCAGCCGCGGGCCUCUAUCCAGUUAAAAGAAAAUUCCAUCUCCACUUAGCCUGCACACACUGAAAUGUCACCUCCUCCGGGAAGGCCAUCCUGACCUCUCUCUGCCCAAACCACACUCUGCUCUGCUCUUUGCCGGCCCCUCCACCUGGCCGUCGAUCGGCGGUGGCACAUGAAUGUUGCCGACAACCGGGCCGAUGCGUUUGGGAGUGGACCCUCCCCCAGCUGAGCUUCCGGAUGAGAACACAGCUCUACAGACACCGGAUGAGAACACAGCAUUUUGAGACCCUCAUGAGAGAACCCAACUAAGCCGUGCCCACACUCCAACCCAUGGGAACAAUUGUGAGGUCAUAAAAACGUGCUGCUUGAAGCCA